CACGUAGGCGGCUUUCUAAGUCAGGGGUGAAAUCCUGGAGCUCAACUCCAGAACUGCCUUUGAUACUGGAGAGCUCGAGUCCGGGAGAGGUGAGUGGAACUGCGAGUGUAGAGGUGAAAUUCGUAGAUAUUCGCAAGAACACCAGUGGCGAAGGCGGCUCACUGGCCCGGUACUGACGCUGAGGUGCGAAAACGUGGGGAGCAAACAGGAUUAGAUACCCUGGUAGCCCACGCCGUAAACGAUGGAUGCUAGCCGUUGGCAGGCUUGCCUGUCAGUGGCGCAGCUAACGCUUUAAGCAUCCCGCCUGGGGAGUACGGUCGCAAGAUUAAA
This 330-nucleotide ribosomal RNA is filed under the name uncultured bacterium. RNAcentral's name for it is "bacterial SSU rRNA". It matches the Rfam family "Bacterial small subunit ribosomal RNA", at positions 568 to 898 of the family's 1533-position model. The record is from RNAcentral.